Molecule: non-coding RNA, 205 nt
Filed under: Mesorhizobium hungaricum
Lineage: Bacteria; Pseudomonadati; Pseudomonadota; Alphaproteobacteria; Hyphomicrobiales; Phyllobacteriaceae
Also listed under: 1 other name
Source: RNAcentral
CCUAAAUCCGGCAAAGACGGUCUCCUCUCUUCACCGGGAGGAGCGAAGAGGGAAUGCGGUGCGAGGUUCAAAAACCUCAACUCCGCGGCUGUCCCCGCAACUGUGAGCGACGAGCCAAGGCCGAUAGCCACUGGGAUUUCCCGGGAAGGCGGCACCGAGGCGACGACCCGCGAGCCAGGAGACCUGCCGUCCGACCAAAACCCCA